RNAcentral lists this ribosomal RNA (496 nucleotides) under uncultured bacterium. RNAcentral's name for it is "bacterial SSU rRNA". It matches the Rfam family "Bacterial small subunit ribosomal RNA", at positions 29 to 518 of the family's 1533-position model. The record is from RNAcentral.
AUGAACGCUAGCGGCAGGCUUAACACAUGCAAGUCAGGGGCAGCGCGAGUAGCAAUACUUGGCGGCGACCGGCGCAAGGGUGCGUAACGCGUGAGCAACAUGCCCGUAUCAGGGGGAUAAUCCAGGGAAACUUUGGUCUAAUACCCCAUAGUAAUUUUUGUAAGGCAUCUUAUAAGAUUUAAAGCUUUGGUGGAUACGGAUUGGCUCGCGUGACAUUAGCUGGAUGGUAAGGUAACGGCUUACCAUGGCUAUGAUGUCUAGGGGUUCUGAGAGGAAGGUCCCCCACACUGGAACUGAGACACGGUCCAGACUCCUACGGGAGGCAGCAGUGAGGAAUAUUGGACAAUGGAUGGAAAUCUGAUCCAGCCAUGCCGCGUAGAAGGAAGAAGGUCCUAUGGAUUGUAAACUUCUUUUGUAUGGGAGCAAUAAGGCCUACGAGUAGGUUGAUGAGAGUACCAUACGAAUAAGCACCGGCUAACUCCGUGCCAGCCGCCGC